CAAAUUUCAAAUACUCACUCUUUUCACACUUUCCCCAAUUCUCUCUCUCUCUCUCUCUCUCUCUCUCUCUCUCUCUCUCUCUCGUUCUCUUUCUUCCCUCUCUUUCCACCCUCAAACCCUAAUACCUUCUUCACCAUAUUUCUCCCUCAUAUCUAUGGCCACCAUCACCUCCAAUAAAAAACCAAUUCCAUAUUCGUAUUUCUCAUCUCAUGGGCUUUCUAAUGAACCUGUUAGAUUUUUGUUUCGUAUUAUUAUUUGUUUUAUAGAUUGAAACGUAAAGGCGCUGGAACGGGAAGAAAACAAUAGAAGAUCCUAACAAGCCCCCAUGUCUUCUUUGUUCUCAUGUAUGAUUUUUCUUCUUCUCUGAUUCUGGUUUUCGAAGAAUUUCCAUAAAGCUACUUUAGCAUUUGAUUCAUCUGAGGUCCUGACACUGCUUUCUUAUUUACUUUGCAAGAGUAUAAGACGAUGUUUGCUUUUGCACUCUAUGUUUGAUAUAAUCCUCAUUUUGAACACCAAGUGUUUGUGUAAAUUUAUGCGGGGUUACGAUUAUUUUCUGUGUUUGCUUACAUUAUCUUAUUUUACAUGGUUGCAUUUUCUAUUUGAGUAGUUGCUUUCAGUAGCUAUCAAGUUUUUUGAUUACGACUUUCUUAUUGUGAGAUUUGUUUUCUACUUGCCGGUAAACAUUUAACCUUGCAGUUAUAGCCGUCCGUGUGAAGCCAGACGCUGUUGCAUUGCAUAUGGAUGAGACAUAAUGGGAUUAAAGUUUAGUUCCUACAUAAUGGGAUCAAAGUUCAUUUCUCUUAUUUCUUCCUCACCUUAUCUAUAUGCUUAAAGUUUUCAAACCUCAUAGGCUGAGUAGGUUUUUGUCUUUAGUCUUGCAGGAAGUAAAGUUCCAUUCGGGUUUUUCGCUAUAACAUUGUUGUUGUGUUUCUUGGUUCUUGAUUAUUUCUCAAUUAGAGGCAUAACUUUAUCUUCUCAAACAUGUACAACUAUAUAUUUUUUUUGUUUCAGCCUUCGCGAAAUACCGAUCUGUAAAAACAAUCUUUUUUGCAUUUUGUAGUAGAGCAGAUUGAGACGGCCUUAGGAAGGAAAGUGGAGUUGAAAUGGAAGGGAUUCUUUCUACAGGAAAAGUGGAAUAAGGAUGUGUUUGCUUCUGAAAGAAGAAAAGCUAAAAUGAUUAAUUUCUCAAUUGGAUAUGGAAAGACUCCGCGUGGUCUUUCUAAGGAUUGGAAGGUUUCUUUUUAAUAUAAGUGACAUUAUAUCUUGGUGUGAAUGACACUGGCAGUAGAUGGACUGACAGGAUUAUUUGCGUGAUUUAGAGAAGGAAAAGGAAGAGCAGAAAAAGAUACAAAAGGAAUUUUCAAAAGCUCACUCUUAAAGAUAGUCCACGAAGUGCAUUCACUGACAAAGAUGAUCUCUCUGGACUGUAAUGGCAUAAACAUUUGAUCUAUGGACCAUCUAAACAUAAUCGUUAUGGCUCUCCACCAUUCCCUGGAAUUGGUGAUGCUGUACAAAUGACCAAGAAGCUACACAUUGUAGAAUCAUGAAGUCGAUUAUGAUUGUUUUUGCCAUUAUUUAGUCUUUUGCAGAAUUGAAGGAAGAGGAGAUUGCCGCUAAAAAUGCAAAUUGAGGUAAUAAGAACUAAAAAUGAGAGUUUGAAGAGGAUGAAGGUACAUUCGAAAUUUCUCCGGUGUGAAUACUUUUGAGAUAGUUUUCUAAGAUGUCAAGUUUGUUCGAUACUUAUCCCAGUUUUCUGAUGGAAGAAGUUUUGAAGAUAGAUGCAACAGUUCUGUAAGCUACGCGGAUGAAAUAAAACUUAAUAGGCUAGAAGAGAAAAGAAGAAAACUCUUUAGGAUUUAGUCCCUGUGGAUGAGGUGGUGCUAGCAAAUCUUGUUUGCCAAUUUGAUUGAAAAUAGCCUGAUGGAGUAGAAGGGAAGGAUUUUGGACAUGUCUGAAACUUUUGGGAUUACCUGUCAUAGAAAAUACCCUCUCCUUGCAGUAGCUACUAAACAUUAGAAAAAAAGGAUUAAACAUCCAUAGAGAAAUAACACGUGACUAAUGAUAAAUAAAGAUGUGUCAUGCUUUGUAUUAAGUGGUUGUGUAGUUUUAUAAGGUUUUGAUCUUUGUAAUUCAAUGUUAGAAGUUCAAAUAUGUUGAUUCUCCAAUCUUUGAUUAUUGUUAUAACCUAUUGUUCAAAUACACAAAAUUUGAUAUAAAUUUAUAAUAUGUGAUCGAACCAUUAAUUUAUUUGUAAAUAUCUUAUUAUAUGUUUAUGUUAACGUAUGGCUUUGACAUAUCAUAUUUCUCAUUAUGAAAGAGAAGAUAAAGAGAAUUAAACUGAAUAAUAAAAGAUAUUAUUUUAAUCUAUUAAUGUAAUGGUGGUAUAAUAUGUAUAUAUAACCAAAUGUCUUAACAAUCUAGAGAAAAACAUUCUAACAGACUUUAACAAACUAUUUAACUACCCGUUGUACCUAUGGAGUCUGAGCAGGAUAUACUUGAAUGUAUGCCACAUAUGCAUUCAACAUGGGAUUUCCAUUCAUGGAUGAUUUUCUUAGUGAUAUUAUUUGUUUGUAUAUAAAUCAUGAUGAUUGAGUUUUGCAGCUAUUAUAAGUUGUUUGAAAUUUUAAUACUUACCUUGUAUUAUACAUUUUGGAAUCUGAUACUUUUUUUGCUUGGGAUUUUGUUCCAGCUAGAAAAUGACUUGUGUGUUAUGCACCUUGAUACAUACAUUUCUACUACUAAUAUGUUUAAUGCAAUGAGAUUCAAUUUUGUUAUGUAAGGUAUAAUAAAACUGCAGAAGAUUUUAUUAAAUUAUAAAGAAAUGAAAUGGUUGAGGGCUUUGAACACUAGAAGUUGUGCAAUAGUUCCAACUAUAAUAGUAGCAACUGUAUCAAGGCACAACAUAAUUAAGUGACAUCAUAAUUAGAUAAUUCAGUCCUGAGCAAAAUAGCAAAAACAAAAGUAAGCAGUGCCAAUAGAGAUAGUAACUUUAUAA
Molecule: long non-coding RNA, 2995 nt
Organism: Vicia villosa (hairy vetch)
Lineage: Eukaryota; Viridiplantae; Streptophyta; Magnoliopsida; Fabales; Fabaceae
Exons: 8
Source: RefSeq, a predicted model, not a curated record